GGUCGCGUAGCUCAGUUGGUUAGAGCGUGGUACUAAUAAUGCCAAGGUCGCGAGUUCGACCCUCGUCGUGACCA
Non-coding RNA from Lineolata rhizophorae, 74 nucleotides. The record is from the annotation of a GenBank genome assembly. Lineage: Eukaryota; Fungi; Ascomycota; Dothideomycetes; Lineolatales; Lineolataceae.